Molecule: long non-coding RNA, 846 nt
Organism: Homo sapiens (human)
Lineage: Eukaryota; Metazoa; Chordata; Mammalia; Primates; Hominidae
Product: long intergenic non-protein coding RNA 1791
Source: Ensembl
AGCAAGAGUUGAACACAGGCUGCCAGAAUUCCACCCUUGUCUCAUUCCGAGAUUGUGUGCUGAGGGUUUUCAACUGCAUCUCUAAAGGGAAGGCCAAAGAAAGAGCAACAGGAAAGGAUGGUAAAAAGGGGGUAGAAAGGAAGAAGGAAGGGAAGAAAAAAGGGAAAACAGCAAGCUCUCUUUCCAGAGCCACACAUUUUUUUCUGUUUGCUCAGUGGCAGUCUGUUAAAGAAAUACUUCAUUGUCACUGAACACAGAGUCAUUAAAGGCACCUUGGAAAUUUGGACCCUUUUACUAGAAUCAGGGCUUAAAUAGCAACUUAAUUUAUGACACUUCUCGAGGCUGAUGGCGUUUUUGCUCUAAGACCUGCCUUGCAAGAAAUGUUAAAAGAAGUGCUUUAGAGAGCAGGGAAAUUCUAUAGGUCAGACACUUGGAUCUACAUAAAAAAAGGAAGAAACCAAAGGAGAAAUAAGUGAAGGGCACUGAAAUACUGGCCGUUUAUGGCUCCUGAAACUUGGGAUGGGAGGACCCAGAGAGCUCUUUUCACCAAGAGUGUGACCUCAGCAGCUUUCAUUCCUUCCUGGCCCCAGCUGGCUCUGGGCUGAGCCCGCUUCACCAGGGAGCACCAUGUGAAGAUGAGUCUCAACCUGGAGUCUGCCAUUUGUUUCCAGUCCUUCACUGCCAUUCCAAAGAGAGGAAUGACUGCCCGACCCUCCAUCUGGGGCAGACUCAGCCCAAAACAGAGGCUGUUGGCCCCUUUCCCCACCUCUCAGCUCCUUAGCACUUUGAAUCCAAUCCUACUCUUUGGAACUUAGCUGAUAAAUACAAGGCUGCCUUUUCCAAAAA